This 431-nucleotide ribosomal RNA is filed under the name Dialeuca nemoraloides. RNAcentral describes it as "partial 16S ribosomal RNA". The record is from RNAcentral. Lineage: Eukaryota; Metazoa; Mollusca; Gastropoda; Stylommatophora; Xanthonychidae.
AACUUUAUGUAAUAACAUAUAAAGCUCUCUCUGCUCAAUGAUAAUAUUAAAUAGCCGCAGUACACUGACUGUGCAAAGGUAGCAUAAUAAAUUGGCUUAUAAUUGAAGUCUUGAAUGAAAGGUAACACGAGUAAAAUCUGUCUUUUAGAAAUAUUUUUAAUUUACUUAUUAAGUGAAAAUUCUUAAUUUAAAAAAUUAGACGAGAAGACCCUAGAAAUUUUUAUUAAUUUACUUAUAUCAUUUUUAUUGGGGCAAUAAAGUAUCAUUUCAAUAUACAAUUAUAAACAAAUAUAAUAUAUUAAAUAAGACAAAAUUACUCUAGGGAUAACAGCAUAAUUAUUGAUUUAGUUUGUGACCUCGAUGUUGGACUAGGGAAUAUAAUGAUUAGAAGUUAUUAUAAUUUGUUCUGUUCGAACAUUAAUUCCUACAUG